RNAcentral lists this ribosomal RNA (497 nucleotides) under uncultured bacterium. RNAcentral's name for it is "partial 16S ribosomal RNA". It matches the Rfam family "Bacterial small subunit ribosomal RNA", at positions 28 to 507 of the family's 1533-position model. The record is from RNAcentral.
GAUGAACGCUGGCGGCGUGCCUAAUACAUGCAAGUCGAGCGAACAGACGAGGAGCUUGCCUCUCUGACGUUAGCGGCGGACGGGUGAGUAACACGUGGAUAACCUACCUAUAAGACUGGGAUAACUUCGGGAAACCGGAGCUAAUACCGGACAAUAUAUUGAACCGCAUGGUUCAAUAGUGAAAGACGGUUUUGCUGUUACUUAUAGAUGGAUCCGCGCCGCAUUAGCUAGUUGGUAAGGUAACGGCUUACCAAGGCGACGAUGCGUAGCCGACCUGAGAGGGUGAUCGGCCACACUAGAACUGAGACGCGGUCCAGACUCCUACGGGAGGCAGCAGUAGGGAAUCUUCCGCAAGGGGCGAAAGCCUGACGGAGCAACGCCGCGUGAGUGAUGAAGGUCUUCGGAUCGUGAAACUCUGUUAUUAGGGAAGAACAAAUGUGUAAGUAACUAUGCACGUCUUGACGGUACCUAAUCAGAAAGCCACGGCUAACUACGUG